AUUGAACGCUGGCGGCAGGCCUAACACAUGCAAGUCGAACGGUAACAGGAAGCAGCUUGCUGCUUUGCUGACGAGUGGCGGACGGGUGAGUAAUGUCUGGGAAACUGCCCGAUGGAGGGGGAUAACUACUGGAAACGGUAGCUACUACCGCAUAACGUCGCAAGCCCAAAGAGGGGGACCUUAGGGCCUCUUGCCAUCGGAUGUGCCCAGAUGGGAUUAGCUAGUAGGUGGGGUAACGGCUCACCUAGGCGACGAUCCCUAGCUGGUCUGAGAGGAUGACCAGCCACACUGGAACUGAGACACGGUCCAGACUCCUACGGGAGGCAGCAGUGGGGAAUAUUGCACAAUGGGCGCAAGCCUGAUGCAGCCAUGCCGCGUGUAUGAAGAAGGCCUUCGGGUUGUAAAGUACUUUCAGCGGGGAGGAAGGGAGUAAAGUUAAUACCUUUGCUCAUUGACGUUACCCGCAGAAGAAGCACCGGCUAACUCCGUG
Molecule: ribosomal RNA, 490 nt
Filed under: uncultured bacterium
Lineage: Bacteria
Description: partial 16S ribosomal RNA
Rfam family: Bacterial small subunit ribosomal RNA
Source: RNAcentral